AUAGGGACCUGUAUGAAUGGCAUAACGAGGGCUUAACUGUCUCCUUUUUCAAGUCAAUGAAAUUGAUCUCCGCGUGCAGAAGCGGGGAUAAACACAUAAGACGAGAAGACCCUGUGGAGCUUUAGACGUCCGGGCAGAUCAUGUUAAGCACCCCUAAAUACAGAUCCAAACUAAAUGAAUCCUGCCCCCAUGUC
This 194-nucleotide ribosomal RNA is filed under the name Anisotremus surinamensis. RNAcentral describes it as "partial large subunit ribosomal RNA". The record is from RNAcentral. Lineage: Eukaryota; Metazoa; Chordata; Actinopteri; Lutjaniformes; Haemulidae.